AUAUAUGUAUACAUAUGUGUAUAUGUACAUAUAUGUAUGUGUGUGUGUGUAUACAGACACACACACAUUCACACCAAGGUGAACUCUC
RNAcentral lists this microRNA precursor (88 nucleotides) under Sorex araneus (European shrew). RNAcentral's name for it is "miRNA (ENSSARG00000017181.1)". Lineage: Eukaryota; Metazoa; Chordata; Mammalia; Eulipotyphla; Soricidae. The record is from RNAcentral.